This 467-nucleotide ribosomal RNA is filed under the name uncultured bacterium. RNAcentral's name for it is "partial 16S ribosomal RNA". It matches the Rfam family "Bacterial small subunit ribosomal RNA", at positions 28 to 507 of the family's 1533-position model. The record is from RNAcentral.
GACGAACGCUGGCGGCGUGCUUAACACAUGCAAGUCGAACGGAAAGGCCUCUUUCGGGGGGUACUCGAGUGGCGAACGGGUGAGUAACACGUGAGUAACCUGCCCUUGACUUUGGGAUAACUUCAGGAAACUGGGGCUAAUACCGGAUAGGAGCUCCUGCUGCAUGGUGGGGGUUAGAAAGUUUCGGCGGUUGGGGAUGGACUCGCGGCUUAUCAGCUUGUUGGUGGGGUAGUGGCUUACCAAGGCUUUGACGGGUAGCCGGCCUGAGAGGGUGACCGGCCACAUUGGGACUGAGAGACGGCCCAGACUCCUACGGGAGGCAGCAGUGGGGAAUAUUGCACAAUGGGUGGAAGCCUGAUGCAGCAACGCCGUGUGCGGGAUGACGGCCUUCGGGUUGUAAACCGCUUUCGCUCAUGACGAAGCUUUGUGUGACGGUAGUGGGUAAAGAAGCACCGGCUAACUACGUG